RNAcentral lists this long non-coding RNA (1035 nucleotides) under Anser brachyrhynchus (Pink-footed goose). Its description in RNAcentral is "lncRNA (ENSABRG00000005989.1)". Lineage: Eukaryota; Metazoa; Chordata; Aves; Anseriformes; Anatidae. The record is from RNAcentral.
UCUCAUUACACCCAGAGCAGCCGAGCACUGGGGAAAUCUCACGGUGCCGAUGAAGUGCUCAGCAGCUGCACGAAGCGAUUAGGGCGAAAUCUCCCCCGGUGUGCUGGUGCUUUCGGGCUGGGUGCAGGGCACACGCCUCCUCUGGGAGCCCUCUGCCCUGCAGGGGAGGGAUUCUUGCUCACAGCAGUGCCCAGGGCUGGUGAGCAGGUUCAUCAGGCAGCAGCUGUGUUUCCCCAAGUCCAUCCCAGAGCCUUUUCCGUGUGUCUGUCUGCUGAUGCCUGGUGCGUGCAGGAUGCUGUGACUCUCAGUUACCCCAUAAGGCUCAGGUUAGCGCUCAGCCAGAGCCCUGGUGCCACUUCCAGCCCUGCUGAGCUUUUGCCGUCUCCUCCUCCGGCAGCGUCAGAUCCACACCUGCUGCUGACAGCGCCAGGCGCUGGGGCUGGCUGCCGUGUAACGUGCCGGGCACCCAAAGGCGUCAGGGCCUCAGGAACCUGCUGGCGCUGCCCUUCCCUUGUGGCCUUGGGGCUGAGCACUGCUGGGCUCCAUCCCCAGCCAGGAGCUGCUGCGGGGUCUUGUGGACGUGGGACAGGACUGAAUGGCGCUGGAGGAGAGCGUGGUCAUAGCUGGGAUGAGAGCACGCAGAUCCGGAACAACUCUGGCAGAAGGAAAGCUGUUUCACGUGGAUUUAACCGUCUCUGGAGUUUAUUGAAAAAUAAAUCAGCUGUUUGUGGAGAAGAGAUUCCAGAGAAAGCAGUUAUUCAGGGGCAAGGAGUUAGGUGGGACUGGGGAUGCGUGUGGGCAUGCAGGCACUGUUGGGUGCCUCAGUGGGGCUGGGGGUCCCAUCCCAGCCCUCGUCCUCGCCCCGUGUCCCCAAGGACACCGCUCGGCAAGGGGAUGGCGAUGGGAGCGUGGAGAGCUACAGGCGAUAGUGGCGGGAUGGCCAUCGGGCACGCAGAGCUCUUUGCACUGCAGAACAAAGAUGUCUUGUCCCAGAGGGCGGUAAAAGAUAUUUAUGGGUUGCCGUGCAGGCCGUAA